RNAcentral lists this transfer RNA (73 nucleotides) under Mustela putorius furo (domestic ferret). It matches the Rfam family "tRNA". From Rfam's summary of the family: Transfer RNA (tRNA) molecules are approximately 80 nucleotides in length. Lineage: Eukaryota; Metazoa; Chordata; Mammalia; Carnivora; Mustelidae. The record is from Rfam by way of RNAcentral.
ACAUGGCUGGCUCAGUGGGUAGAGCAUGUGACUCUUGAUCUCAAGGCUGUGAGUUCGAGCCCUAUGUUGGGUA